GGUGGCUCAGGGGUAGAGCGCUUGCCUUGCAAGCAUGAGGCCUUGGGUUCGAUUCCUCAGCACCA
Molecule: transfer RNA, 65 nt
Filed under: Dipodomys ordii (Ord's kangaroo rat)
Lineage: Eukaryota; Metazoa; Chordata; Mammalia; Rodentia; Heteromyidae
Rfam family: tRNA
About the family: Transfer RNA (tRNA) molecules are approximately 80 nucleotides in length. Their secondary structure includes four short double-helical elements and three loops (D, anti-codon, and T loops).
Source: Rfam by way of RNAcentral